UCCACUCCUGCUUCAACGCCACAGUCACCAGACAAUUGAGCUGCGGUGAUGUCAAUAGUUGGGGUUCUUUCUUCUUGAAUCGUGGCUGCUGCAAGUAGAGCAACCACAACUGCAGAGAUGCAAGGAAUUUCUUCUGCAAGCUGGAAAAUUGCACGAACUACAGUAAAAACUUUAAGAUCCUUCAACUGAAUCGGGGUAGAAGCAACUAGUGCAGAAGUCCGAAUUUGCAGGUUUGUGAAUCUCGAACAGGCGAUGGUUCCAUUUUUUUUUGGUUGCUGUGAUUUCGGUGGGUUAUGAGGAAUUUGUGUAAGCUGCAGGUGGUAGUUGGAGGGCGACGGUGGAUGGAAAAAAUUCUGGUCAGACUUUUCUGCUCUUUAAGUUCUGCAUGACGGGCUUUCUUUUGGUUGGGGUUUGUAUUGGUUGUGGCUCGCGAUUGUGAAAGUCGCGAUCUUGAGGGUUGUGUAUUGGCGGUCGUGAGGGAAACUGGUCGUCCUUGUCUGCAGUGGGUUGUGUUGUGUGUAUAUGAGUAUAUAUGAAAUAGGAGAAAUUGGCGGUUUCAGAGGGGGGAUAAUUGACUGGGGAUUAACUGAACGGAUUUCAACCGUGGGGUAAUUGGUUGUGGGAUUCUGUUACUGUUGGAUUUUGGCUCUGAUACCAAAUUGAUGCAGAAUUAGGAUGAUGGGGAAGAGGGAACACAGAGAAACAGGGAAGAAGGAGGAGAAAUAGGGCAGAAGAGGGAGAAGAGACGGCAGCAGCCAAACCAAUAAUUCUCAAUGAAUUCAUCGUCCAAAAUUACAAACCAAGAUAGAUUUAAAUAAUAAAAACCUAGAAAUAUAGGGCCAAGCCCAUUACUUAAGUCCUAACUAAAAUACGUAAACUUAAAUAAAAGUCCAACUGAAACAAUAAUAAAAGUCCAACUAAAAUACUGAAACAAUAAUAAAAGUCCAACUAUAAUGAUGUCCUCAUCA
This 968-nucleotide long non-coding RNA is filed under the name Olea europaea (common olive). RNAcentral describes it as "long non-coding RNA (OEUR_LNC009194)". The record is from RNAcentral. Lineage: Eukaryota; Viridiplantae; Streptophyta; Magnoliopsida; Lamiales; Oleaceae.